GCUGAAGUGCCUUGAACUGGGCUUGCAUUAUGGGAAAUCCCAAGAACUGGAACGAGACUUCUUGCAAUGAAAAACACUCCAUGGGGAAGUAGAGAGGCUCUCAACCACACCCUGGAAAAUAACUCAUGCUAAACUGGACCAACCUCUACACAAGUCUGAACACCUUCAGUUCUCACAGAAGUCCAGUCACUCCCACUUACUUAGAAAGAAUCAAGAGACACAAAGAAAAGCCUACUCUACACCCCAAACAAGCAGUCCAGAGCAUGGAGGGAGAACAGAGGAACUGUAUUGUUGCAGUGAGCCAAACAGGUCGUAUUGAAGAGGAGUGUAGGAGCGCUGGAAAGUGGCCAACUUCAGCAUUCACACAGCAAACAUGAAACAAUCAUAGGUACUAAAGAGAGUUGUACUGUGGACUCCCAGG
This 421-nucleotide long non-coding RNA is filed under the name Apteryx owenii (little spotted kiwi). Its description in RNAcentral is "lncRNA (ENSAOWG00000011602.1)". Lineage: Eukaryota; Metazoa; Chordata; Aves; Apterygiformes; Apterygidae. The record is from RNAcentral.